RNAcentral lists this ribosomal RNA (466 nucleotides) under uncultured bacterium. RNAcentral's name for it is "partial 16S ribosomal RNA". It matches the Rfam family "Bacterial small subunit ribosomal RNA", at positions 28 to 505 of the family's 1533-position model. The record is from RNAcentral.
GACGAACGCUGGCGGCGUGCUUAACACAUGCAAGUCGAACGGAAAGGCCCUGCUUUUGUGGGGUGCUCGAGUGGCGAACGGGUGAGUAACACGUGAGUAACCUGCCCUUGACUUUGGGAUAACUUCAGGAAACUGGGGCUAAUACCGGAUAGGAGCUCCUGCUGCAUGGUGGGGGUUGGAAAGUUUCGGCGGUUGGGGAUGGACUCGCGGCUUAUCAGCUUGUUGGUGGGGUAGUGGCUUACCAAGGCUUUGACGGGUAGCCGGCCUGAGAGGGUGACCGGCCAUAUGGAGUCUGAGAUGCGGCCGAGACUCCUACGGGAGGCAGCAGGGGGAAAUAGUGCACAGGGGGCGGAAGCCUGAUGCAGCAACGCCGCGUGCGGGAUGAGGGCCUUCGGGGUGUAAACCGCUUGCGCCUGUGACGAAGCGUGAGUGACGGUAAUGUGUAAAGAAGCACCGGCUAACCACG